RNAcentral lists this ribosomal RNA (324 nucleotides) under uncultured Gemmiger sp. RNAcentral describes it as "bacterial SSU rRNA". It matches the Rfam family "Bacterial small subunit ribosomal RNA", at positions 356 to 696 of the family's 1533-position model. Lineage: Bacteria; Bacillati; Bacillota; Clostridia; Eubacteriales; Oscillospiraceae. The record is from RNAcentral.
UGGGGAUAUUGCACAAUGGGGGGAAACCCUGAUGCAGCGACGCCGCGUGGAGGAAGAAGGUUUUCGGAUUGUAAACUCCUGUCGUUAGGGACGAUAAUGACGGUACCUAACAAGAAAGCACCGGCUAACUACGUGCCAGCAGCCGCGGUAAAACGUAGGGUGCAAGCGUUGUCCGGAAUUACUGGGUGUAAAGGGAGCGCAGGCGGACCGGCAAGUUGGAAGUGAAAACUAUGGGCUCAACCCAUAAAUUGCUUUCAAAACUGCUGGCCUUGAGUAGUGCAGAGGUAGGUGGAAUUCCCGGUGUAGCGGUGGAAUGCGUAGGAU